AAAGAAACCAACAGGGAUUGCCCUAGUAACGGCGAGUGAAGCGGCAACAGCUCAAAUUUGAAAUCUGGCGCAAGCCCGAGUUGUAAUUUGUAGAGGAUGCUUCUGGGUAGCGGCCGGUCUAAGUUCCUUGGAACAGGACGUCAUAGAGGGUGAGAAUCCCGUAUGUGACUGGCUUGCACCCUCCACGUAGCUCCUUCGACGAGUCGAGUUGUUUGGGAAUGCAGCUCUAAAUGGGAGGUAAAUUUCUUCUAAAGCUAAAUACCGGCCAGAGACCGAUAGCGCACAAGUAGAGUGAUCGAAAGAUGAAAAGCACUUUGGAAAGAGAGUUAAAAAGCACGUGAAAUUGUUGAAAGGGAAGCGCCCGCAACCAGACUUUGCGGCGGUGUUCGGCUGGUCUUCUGACCGGUUUACUCGCCGCCGUGAGGCCAUCAUCGUCUGGGACCGCUGGAUAAGACCUGAGGAAUGUAGCUCCCUUCGGGGUGUGUUAUAGCCUUUGGUGAUGCAGCGCGUCUCGGGCGAGGUCCGCGCUUCGGCAAGGAUGAUGGCGUAAUGGUUGUCGGCGGCCCGUCUUGAAACACGGACCAAGGAGUCUAACAUCUAUGCGAGUGUUCGGGUGUCAAACCCCUACGCGUAAUGAAAGUGAACGGAGGUGGGAACUUUUUGUGCACCAUCGACCGAUCCUGAUGUCCUCGGAUGGAUUUGAGUAAGAGCAUAGCUGUUGGGACCCGAAAGAUGGUGAACUAUGCCUGAAUAGGGUGAAGCCAGAGGAAACUCUGGUGGAGGCUCGCAGCGGUUCUGACGUGCAAAUCGAUCGUCAAAUUUGGGUAUAGGGGCGAAAGACUAAUCGAACCAUC
This 854-nucleotide ribosomal RNA is filed under the name Pseudocercospora tereticornis. RNAcentral describes it as "eukaryotic LSU rRNA". It matches the Rfam family "Eukaryotic large subunit ribosomal RNA", at positions 58 to 944 of the family's 3401-position model. The record is from RNAcentral. Lineage: Eukaryota; Fungi; Ascomycota; Dothideomycetes; Mycosphaerellales; Mycosphaerellaceae.